AUGAAAUAGAAAUUCAUUUGACAUUAGUCGUUUGUACUUGGUAGAACCUAACCUAUAAAUAAUAACACCUAACCUAAAACAACAACAGCAACAACUUGAGAUUGGAAGAGGCAGAUGUUUCUACUCUUGUGCCGUUAUCAGUGCGACGAUGUUUAGUAAUAAGAAGAACAGUUUACCUCCAAGACCGCUUUUGCCUAGUCAGGAACAUAUGUUGGAAGAUUUGAAUAAUGCUGUCGUGGACGAUGUGGCGUUUAAAAUCAUAAAUGAUUUACGUAUAAAGGAAUCUUACGGCCUGUCAAGUACUAAUAAUUCUGAUGACAUAUAUAAGAAAGUCAAAACCUAUUUAAAUACUAAACAGCAAUUGAAGCAGCUGGAAUAUACUUUGAGGAAAGAAGAACAACAAUUGCAGACAAAUAAUGAGGAAAUAAGGAGAUUAGCAGACGACAUUAGAAAGCAGGCUGAAGCUGCUUUAAUAACAUACGAAUAAUAAGCUCUUUAUGAUAUUAAUAUUAUCUUAAAUAUUGGUUUGUCUGUCAUCUUUGAGAUUAUAUCAAGAUACAUCCUUAAAUAAAUAUUUACUAUGAAUUUAUCUGCGUCAUCUUUCUAUUAUAUGAUUAAAAUACUCAAUAUGGUAGAAACGCUCAAUAGUAUCCUAUAUAUGCAAGGUAC
Dinoponera quadriceps is the source of this 669-nucleotide RNA transcript. RefSeq lists it as uncharacterized. The transcript is spliced from 3 exons. NCBI's taxonomy places the organism in Eukaryota, Metazoa, Arthropoda, Insecta, Hymenoptera, Formicidae. The record is from RefSeq and is a predicted model, not a curated record.